CACUCAAGGUCAAAAGUCACAAAAAUAGCACUUAAUAUUUUAUCAAAAGUCACAAACUUAGGAUUUAGAGUUAAAGGGUGGGGUUUAGGAUUUAGGGUUUAUGGUUUAGGGUUUAGAGUUUAGGGUUUAGGGUUUAGAAUUUAGGGUUUAAGGUUUAGGGUUUAGGGUUUAGGGUUUAGAGUUUAGAGUUUAGGGUUUAGAUUUUAGGGUUUAGGGUUUAGGGUUUAGAGUUUAGGGUUUAGGGUUUAGGGUUUAGGGUUUAGAGUUGAGAAAUGAGGUUUUGGGAUAAGAUUUCAAAUUUUGAAAAAUAAAAAAAUUAAAAUUUUCAAAGGAUAAACUUAGAAAGGUGCUAUUUUGGUUAUUUUAGUUUUUGAGU
Molecule: long non-coding RNA, 376 nt
Filed under: Brassica napus (rape)
Lineage: Eukaryota; Viridiplantae; Streptophyta; Magnoliopsida; Brassicales; Brassicaceae
Description: long non-coding RNA (BNAP_LNC017692)
Source: RNAcentral